AUUGAACGCUGGCGGCAGGCUUAACACAUGCAAGUCGAGCGGGGGAAGGUAGCUUGCUACCGGACCUAGCGGCGGACGGGUGAGUAACGCUUAGGAGUCUGCCUAUUAGUGGGGGACAACAUCUCGAAAGGGAUGCUAAUACCGCAUACGUCCUACGGGAGAAAGCAGGGGAUCUUCGGACCUUGCGCUAAUAGAUGAGCCUAAGUAGGACUAGCUAGUUGGUGGGGUAAAGGCCUACCAAGGCGACGAUCUGUAGCGGGUCUGAGAGGAUGAUCCGCCACACGGGGACUGAGACACGGCCCAGACUCCUACGGGAGGCAGCAGUGGGGAAUAUUGGACAAUGGGGGGAACCAUGAUCCAGCCAUGCCGCGUGUGUGAAGAAGGCCUUAUGGUUGUAAAGCACUUUAAGCGAGGAGGAGGCUACUCUAGUUAAUACCUAGGGAUAGUGGACGUUACUCGCAGAAUAAGCACCGGCUAACUCUGUGCCAGCAGCCGCAGUAA
Molecule: ribosomal RNA, 501 nt
Filed under: uncultured bacterium
Lineage: Bacteria
Description: partial 16S ribosomal RNA
Rfam family: Bacterial small subunit ribosomal RNA
Source: RNAcentral